RNAcentral lists this ribosomal RNA (429 nucleotides) under Actinomycetes bacterium. RNAcentral's name for it is "Actinobacteria bacterium partial 16S ribosomal RNA". It matches the Rfam family "Bacterial small subunit ribosomal RNA", at positions 355 to 776 of the family's 1533-position model. The record is from RNAcentral. Lineage: Bacteria; Bacillati; Actinomycetota; Actinomycetes.
UAGGGAAUCUUCCGCAAUGGGCGAAAGCUUGACGGAGCAACGCCGCGUGAGUGAUGAAGGUCUUCGGAUCGUAAAACUCUGUUAUUAGGGAAGAACAAAUGAGUAAGUAACUAUGCACGUCUUGACGGUACCUAAUCAGAAAGCCACGGCUAACUACGUGCCAGCAGCCGCGGUAAUACGUAGGUGGCAAGCGUUAUCCGGAAUUAUUGGGCGUAAAGCGCGCGUAGGCGGUUUUUUAAGUCUGAUGUGAAAGCCCACGGCUCAACCGUGGAGGGUCAUUGGAAACUGGAAAACUUGAGUGCAGAAGAGGAAAGUGGAAUUCCAUGUGUAGCGGUGAAAUGCGCAGAGAUAUGGAGGAACACCAGUGGCGAAGGCGACUUUCUGGUCUGUAACUGACGCUGAUGUGCGAAAGCGUGGGGAUCAAACAGG